Molecule: transfer RNA, 67 nt
Filed under: Bos taurus (domestic cattle)
Lineage: Eukaryota; Metazoa; Chordata; Mammalia; Artiodactyla; Bovidae
Also listed under: 1 other name
Rfam family: tRNA
About the family: Transfer RNA (tRNA) molecules are approximately 80 nucleotides in length. Their secondary structure includes four short double-helical elements and three loops (D, anti-codon, and T loops).
Source: Rfam by way of RNAcentral
UCCCUGGUAGCUCAGAUAGUAGAGAACCUGCCUGCAAUGCAGGAGGCCCUGGUUCAAUCCUAGGGAA